UGAUGCAGCGACGCCGCGUGAGGGAUGACGGCCUUCGGGUUGUAAACCUCUUUCGCCAGGGACGAAGCGCAAGUGACGGUACCUGGAUAAGAAGCACCGGCUAACUACGUGCCAGCAGCCGCGGUAAUACA
RNAcentral lists this ribosomal RNA (131 nucleotides) under uncultured Amycolatopsis sp. Its description in RNAcentral is "partial 16S ribosomal RNA". It matches the Rfam family "Bacterial small subunit ribosomal RNA", at positions 384 to 527 of the family's 1533-position model. The record is from RNAcentral. Lineage: Bacteria; Bacillati; Actinomycetota; Actinomycetes; Pseudonocardiales; Pseudonocardiaceae.